This 668-nucleotide ribosomal RNA is filed under the name Pediculus humanus capitis (human head louse). RNAcentral's name for it is "LSU rRNA". The stretch from base 490 to 656 matches the Rfam family "Bacterial large subunit ribosomal RNA", at positions 1785 to 2014 of the family's 2925-position model. The record is from RNAcentral. Lineage: Eukaryota; Metazoa; Arthropoda; Insecta; Psocodea; Pediculidae.
UUAAGAAUAUCAAUUAUAAAGUUAUACCCCGAAAGGUUUAUCUUUUAAAUCAUUAAAAAGUAAUUAUUAGUAAUGUACCUUUUGCAUCAGGGGUUAAGAAAUAAAAUUAUUAAAUUAAUAACCUCCCGAAAGAAGUAGGAUCUUAGAUUUUAUUGUUGGUUGCUGUUUCAUUAACAUUAAUAAUAAUAUUUAAGAAGUUAAAAGUUAUAGCGACUCUUCUGAUUACCUGGUUUGCUAUUUAGCGUCUUUUAAGAAGGCAAAGAAUAAAUUGAAGUUAAAGCACUUUAUUAUUUUCUUUUAAUUAUAAAGGGACAAGCUUUUAUAACUUUAGGAAGAGCGAUUUAUAGCUUAUCUUCAUGACAAGAUAGCCGUUAUUUAUCUAUUUAUAGAUCUACCUUUAGAAUAGCAUCUUUAGUAAAAUAAUUCUUAACUAUAAAAAUAAUCUUAACAUUAGUACUUCAAUAAAUUAAUUAUUAAAAGGAACUAGGCAAAUAAUUAGCCGGACUGUUUAAUAAAAACAUUUCCUCUUGCGUAAAAGGGAGGUAAAGUCUGCUCGGUGUAAUAAAUUAACAGCUGCAGUAAUUUGACUGUACAAAGGUAGCGUAAUCACUUGUCUUUUAAUUGAAGACUAGAAUGAACGGCUUAACCAAGCUAAUUCUGUCUCUUUU